AUUGAACGCUGGCGGCAGGCCUAACACAUGCAAGUAGAGCGGAGCGACGGUCGGGUGAGUAAUGCCUAGAAAUCCGCAUGGGAGUGGGGGAUAACGUCCGGAAACGAGCGCUCAUACCUCAUAAUAACAGAUAAGCCUCGGUCGGAUUAGCUAGUUGUUGGGGUAAAGGCCUACAAAGGCUACGAUCUGUAACUGGUCUGAGCGGAUGAUCAGUCAAACUGGAACUGAGAAACGGUACAGAAUCCUACGGUAGGCAGCAGGGGGGAAUAUUGGACAAUGGGGGAAAGCCUGAUCCAGCAAUGCGGGGUGUGUGAAGAAGGUCUUCGGAUUGUAAAGCACUUUAAGUUGGGAGGCGUUACCAACAGAAUAAGCACCGGCGAACUUCGUGCCAGCAGCCGCGGUAAUAC
RNAcentral lists this ribosomal RNA (407 nucleotides) under uncultured bacterium. Its description in RNAcentral is "partial 16S ribosomal RNA". It matches the Rfam family "Bacterial small subunit ribosomal RNA", at positions 30 to 526 of the family's 1533-position model. The record is from RNAcentral.